CUCCCCCAGAAGCAGUUUAAUGUCGUUCCCAGGCGUUCUGAGCCCGGCCAGCCCCCCCGGCCCCCUCAGCACAACGCUGGGGUUCAGCUGGGAGGCAAGAUGGAGACGAGGCGUCGUGUCCUAAAGGACCCGGGGUCAGGCUGAGCUGCCUCCUCGCCUCAGUACGCGUCGUGUGCCGCAAUGGCUCCCCAGCACCUGGGGUGCUGUGCCACCCUCGUGGGGUUGCGGGGGUCCUCUCAGCCUGGCGGGUUUCGGCGGGUGCUCCCCUUGUGCCGGGAGCAUCUGCUGCCAGGGCACAGCGAGGCACAAGGCGGUACGGCGGGGACCGUCGCGCUGCACCGGGGGCCCCAGACACCCGUGGGGACUCUUGUUUGUUACAGAGCUGCACUGAAGCUAUUUCAGGCAAGGGCAGGGCUGCAUCCUUCGGCCUUGUGGAAGUCGCCGCCACCACCACUGCAGCGUUCGCACCGUGGCUCGCAAGUGUUCAGAAACUAGCUAAACUCCAGUUUGGAUUUACGCUCUGGCAAACUAAUUCCUUAGCAGUCCCAACCUUGGACCAGUUUGUACUUCAGCAUUGGCAACUGGAAUUUUCUACUGACAUGGCAUGAAACUAAGUUAUAUUCUUAUAUCAAGGCAGAGGCAAUUACAGCUUCCCUGUAGUUCCAAAUAUAUUACUCUAUUCUAACCUAAA
This is a long non-coding RNA of Tyto alba (common barn owl), 691 nucleotides long. RefSeq lists it as uncharacterized. NCBI's taxonomy places the organism in Eukaryota, Metazoa, Chordata, Aves, Strigiformes, Tytonidae. The record is from RefSeq and is a predicted model, not a curated record. The transcript is spliced from 2 exons.